Molecule: long non-coding RNA, 524 nt
Organism: Mus musculus (house mouse)
Lineage: Eukaryota; Metazoa; Chordata; Mammalia; Rodentia; Muridae
Product: predicted gene, 33560
Exons: 2
Source: RefSeq, a predicted model, not a curated record
CCUUACCCACAGAUCGUCACUUCAGUCCACCCGAAACCCCGCCUUUGAACAUAGUCCGACCCCAGACUGCCCUUCCAGAGGUCAGGGGCCCUAGACCAAUCCCAGACGAUGCCCCCAAGCCAGCGAGCCACCCCUCGCAGAAGCAGUCUCGAGUUGAAGUUACUGCAUUCAGCUUUGUCUGGGCGAAAGGAGGCGUGGUCUCUGAUGGGGAGAAACACCCACACUAGGGAAGCUAACUCUCGCCUCCAAGGGAGCUCACCAGAGAGGUGCAAGGACGGGGCGCAAAAGGAUGGAUGGCUUGGAGGCAGCCGUUCGUGGCGUUAUUGUGCCUGGAGUCUGACCUCUCACUCUUUCAACAUUGGCUACUUUGAAAAGCAUUUGCUGCAAAAGAAAUGAAGGAAAGCAGAAAAGAGUCACUGCUCCAGGCCAUGGACUUCCUGGAAUGCAUGAGGCCUGCUAGGGAAGGAAGGUGUUCAAUUAUUUCUCUGCUGCCAGCAAAAAAAAAAAAAAAAAAAAAAAAGCCA